This 497-nucleotide ribosomal RNA is filed under the name uncultured bacterium. RNAcentral describes it as "partial 16S ribosomal RNA". It matches the Rfam family "Bacterial small subunit ribosomal RNA", at positions 28 to 507 of the family's 1533-position model. The record is from RNAcentral.
GAUGAACGCUGGCGGCGUGCCUAAUACAUGCAAGUCGAGCGGACGGACGAUGAUCUUGCGUCUCUGAUGUUAGCGGCAGAGGGGUGAGUAACACGUGUAUAACCUACCUAUAAUACUGGGAUAACUUCGGGAAACCGGAUCUAAUCCCGGAGAAGAUUUUGAACCGCGGUGGGGAAAGGUAAGAUACGGUGUUGCGGGCAGUAAUAGAUGCAUCCGCGCUGCAUGAGCUAGUUGUGCAGUUAACGGCUUACCAAGGCAACGAUGCAUAGCCGACGUGAGAGGCUGAUAGGCGACAUUGGAACUGAGCCAGGGUCAAGACUACUAAGGGAGGCAGCAGUAGGGAACCUUACGCAAUAGGCGAAAGCAUGACGGAGUAACGGCGAGUGAGUGAUGACGGUCUUCGGAUCGUAAAAAUCUGUUAUUAGGGAAGAACAUAUGUCUAAGUAAAUGUGGACAUAUUGACGGUAACUAAUAAGAAAGCCACGGCUAACUACGUG